UUUCUCCACUUUCCAUAAAGGAGCCGAAUGAAACUAAACCAAGCUAACGAUGCGGGUUCGAUUCCCGCUACCCGCU
Molecule: transfer RNA, 76 nt
Filed under: Bougainvillea modesta
Lineage: Eukaryota; Viridiplantae; Streptophyta; Magnoliopsida; Caryophyllales; Nyctaginaceae
Also listed under: 1 other name
Description: tRNA-Gly
Source: RNAcentral